Molecule: ribosomal RNA, 467 nt
Filed under: uncultured bacterium
Lineage: Bacteria
Description: partial 16S ribosomal RNA
Rfam family: Bacterial small subunit ribosomal RNA
Source: RNAcentral
GACGAACGCUGGCGGCGUGCUUAACACAUGCAAGUCGAACGGAAAGGCCCUGCUUUUGUGGGGUGCUCGAGUGGCGAACGGGUGAGUAACACGUGAGUAACCUGCCCUUGACUUUGGGAUAACUUCAGGAAACUGGGGCUAAUACCGGAUAGGAGCUCCUGCUGCAUGGUGGGGGUUGGAAAGUUUCGGCGGUUGGGGAUGGACUCGCGGCUUAUCAGCUUGUUGGUGGGGUAGUGGCUUACCAAGGCUUUGACGGGUAGCCGGCCUGAGAGGGUGACCGGCACAUUGGGAAUGAGGAUCCGCCCCGGCUCCUACCGGGGGGAAGAGGGGGGAAUAAUUGAAAAAUGGCCGGAGCCUGGUGCCGGAACGCCGGGGGCGGGGAGAACGGCCUUGGGGUGGUAAACCGUUUUGGCUGGGAAGAAGGGUGGGGUAACGGUAUUGGGUAAGGAGGAACGGGUAACUUCCUG